RNAcentral lists this ribosomal RNA (468 nucleotides) under uncultured bacterium. RNAcentral describes it as "partial 16S ribosomal RNA". It matches the Rfam family "Bacterial small subunit ribosomal RNA", at positions 28 to 507 of the family's 1533-position model. The record is from RNAcentral.
GACGAACGCUGGCGGCGUGCUUAACACAUGCAAGUCGAACGGAAAGGCCCUGCUUUUGUGGGGUGCGCGAGGGGCGAAGGGGUGAGUAACACGUGAGUAACCUACCCUUGACUUUGGGAUAACUUAAGGAAACUGGGGCUAAUACCGGAUAGGAGCUCCUGCUGCAUGGUGGGGGUUGGAAAGUUUAGGCGGUUGGGAAUGGACUCGCGGCGUGUCAGAUUGUUGGUGGGGUAGUGGCUGAGCAAGGCUUUGAGGGGUAGCAGGGCUGCGCGGGGGACCUGACCAACUGGGAUUGGGCUGCGGCCCGGACUCGUCUGGGAGGCAGCGGUGGGGAAUAGAGUACAAUGGGCGGAGGCAUGAUGCAGCCACGCCGCGUGGGGGAUGUCGGCAUGCGGGUUGUAAACCGCUGCUGUCUGUGACGAAGCGUGAGUGACGGUACUGGGUAAAGAAGCACCGGCUAACUACGUG